GAGUUUGAUCAUGGCUCAGGAUGAACGCUGGCGGCGUGCUUAACACAUGCAAGUCGAACGGAGAGCUAAUGACAGAGGAUUCGUCCAAUGGAAUUAGUUUCUUAGUGGCGGACGGGUGAGUAACGCGUGAGGAACCUGCCUCGGAGUGGGGAAUAACACAACGAAAGCUGUGCUAAUACCGCAUGAUGCAGCUGGGUCGCAUGACUCUGGCUGCCAAAGAUUUAUCGCUCUGAGAUGGCCUCGCGUCUGAUUAGCUGGUUGGCGGGUAACG
RNAcentral lists this ribosomal RNA (271 nucleotides) under uncultured bacterium. RNAcentral's name for it is "partial 16S ribosomal RNA". It matches the Rfam family "Bacterial small subunit ribosomal RNA", at positions 9 to 262 of the family's 1533-position model. The record is from RNAcentral.